UACGUAGGGUGCGAGCGUUAAUCGGAAUUACUGGGCGUAAAGCGUGCGCAGGCGGUUCGUUAAGUUCGAUGUGAAAGCCCCGGGCUCAACCUGGGAACUGCAUUGGAAACUGGCGGGCUUGAGUGUGGCAGAGGGGGGUGGAAUUCCACGUGUAGCAGUGAAAUGCGUAGAGAUGUGGAGGAACACCGAUGGCGAAGGCAGCCCCCUGGGCUAACACUGACGCUCAGGCGCGACAGCGUGGGGAUCAAACAGG
Molecule: ribosomal RNA, 253 nt
Filed under: uncultured bacterium
Lineage: Bacteria
Description: partial 16S ribosomal RNA
Rfam family: Bacterial small subunit ribosomal RNA
Source: RNAcentral